UCACAGUGAAAAAAAUCAAAGUUGAAGAAGCUCCUCAAUCAAUAUGCUUCACGAGAUUCAGAUGUGCGGAUCCUCUACUUCGCAUGCACGUCAAAUGCUGUAAGAGAAAGGGAUGAACUCUUUCAUCAGAGAGAAAGGAGAAGAACACUUGAGAUCUAAUCUCAAGCCCUUAGAACAGCCCACAUGCCACCACAAAGGGAGAGAGGAUGCC
This 211-nucleotide long non-coding RNA is filed under the name Elaeis guineensis (African oil palm). RNAcentral describes it as "long non-coding RNA (EGUI_LNC015406)". The record is from RNAcentral. Lineage: Eukaryota; Viridiplantae; Streptophyta; Magnoliopsida; Arecales; Arecaceae.